AUUCAUUUUUCUCUGCCAACUAUUCCUAUAAUUUUUCAGCUUAUUGAAUAAUUAUUUCUUAGUCUUGACUUCCUUUCCCUAUUUUUUGUUCCUUUUUAUUCUCAGGAAAACAUACACAUUAUCGUAGAUUCCUCUGCCAUGUAUAGACUAAGACAGCCCAACACGAGGUUAAAGAGUUAACUUUUGAUUUUUAUUUAUGAAUAUAGUGAUAUUUUUGGUAAAAAGGUAUUAAGAUUAAUGAUUUAAGGCAUUUGUUUGUAAAGUAUAGGUUUGUGAAUUCAAAGGGGGUGGAACUAUAUGAAUUAAAGAUUGCCUUAGAAAGAUAGAGAAUAUGCAGAGCUUUAAGAGGUACAACUCUUAAUUGCCUUGAACUCUAUAUUUAUUGUUAAUAUUCUGGAUUAGUAGCUCCAUCAAUAUAAUGGCUGAAAUGUUUUAUUAUUCUAGUAGAAUAAUUUGGAAUGAGUUGACACUAAUUGCAUUAUACAGAAAGUGUGUAAUUAUCAAGAGUUAAAUGCUUUACUCUCACACUUAGGCUUGAUGGCUAAAAGACAUAAUUGCAAGCCUUUUUUUGAAAAAAUAUACUAUGUUGUAUUAGAUAUUAAAUUUUAUUAUGAAUUUUUUAGUUGGAAAAUCAUUGUUUUUUAUAUAAUGAGAAAUAAACACACUUUCUUGAAACUAGAUGUUAUACUGAAAACUUGAAUGCUAUAAUUUGCUCUCUCACUCUCUCUUAUUCAUAUAUAUAAGAGAAUGAAUUCAUCAUCACCUUUUUUUUUUUAAUUUAUAUCUAUAGUUAAAUAUAUUCUACCUUAUUUCUAAUCAAAUGAGCUACAACAUUCUUGUUCUCUAAUUUUCGUUUAAGAUAAUUGAGUUGAUCUAUUCAUAACUUAUGAAUAUUUUUACUUUCGAGCAAAAUAUGUUUAUUUCUAUUAACUUUUGUCUAUGUAUUGCUUGUUAAUUUAUUUUGCAACUGUUGGAAUUGGGCAACCAAUUUCUUUUCCUUUUUCUUUUAUUUGUUUGCAGAUUUGAUUAAUAUGUUUAAAGUGUUUCUUCUUCAACUUAUAUCCCUAACCCAUCAAAUUCAUCAAAUGAAGAAGCUGUCCGUGAAUGAAGAAGCUGUCUGUGAUAAUGCAUGAUCGCAGUACUUAUGUUCAUGGAGUGAAAAAUAAUAAUCCUUCUAAAUUUAGCUUUUAGAUUUGGUAAAUUUAGCCCUUAAAUUCAGCUACGAGUAGAAGGAAUUUGAUUGGAUAAUAGCAGUUAAGAUUAUUCAAUUAUAAGAAUAAGAUGUCUUGUAAUAAGACGUCUU
This 1303-nucleotide long non-coding RNA is filed under the name Citrus maxima (pomelo). RNAcentral's name for it is "long non-coding RNA (CMAX_LNC001357)". Lineage: Eukaryota; Viridiplantae; Streptophyta; Magnoliopsida; Sapindales; Rutaceae. The record is from RNAcentral.